This 253-nucleotide ribosomal RNA is filed under the name uncultured bacterium. Its description in RNAcentral is "partial 16S ribosomal RNA". It matches the Rfam family "Bacterial small subunit ribosomal RNA", at positions 524 to 776 of the family's 1533-position model. The record is from RNAcentral.
UACAGAGGUGGCAAGCGUUGUUCGGAAUUACUGGGCGUAAAGGGCGCGUAGGCGGUCGGGCAAGUCCUGUGUGAAAUCCCUCGGCUCAACUGAGGAACUGCACAGGAAACUGCUCGACUUGAGUUCGGGAGAGGGAAGCGGAAUUCCGGGUGUAGCGGUGAAAUGCGUAGAUAUCCGGAGGAACACCGGUGGCGAAGGCGGCUUCCUGGACCGACACUGACGCUGAGGCGCGAAAGCUAGGGGAGCAAACGGG